Molecule: ribosomal RNA, 497 nt
Filed under: uncultured bacterium
Lineage: Bacteria
Description: partial 16S ribosomal RNA
Rfam family: Bacterial small subunit ribosomal RNA
Source: RNAcentral
GAUGAACGCUGGCGGCGUGCCUAAUACAUGCAAGUCGAGCGAACGGACGAGAAGCUUGCUUCUCUGAUGUUAGCGGCGGACGGGUGAGUAACACGUGGAUAACCUACCUAUAAGACUGGGAUAACUUCGGGAAACCGGAGCUAAUACCGGAUAAUAUUAUGAACCGCAUGGUUCAAAAGUGAAAGACGGUCUUGCUGUCACUUAUAGAUGGAUCCGCGCUGCAUUAGCUAGUUGGUAAGGUAACGGCUUACCAAGGCAACGAUGCAUAGCCGACCUGAGAGGGUGAUCGGCCACACUGGAACUGAGACGCGGUCCAGACUCCUACGGGAGGCAGCAGUAGGGAAUCUUCCGCAAUGGGCGAAAGCCUGACGGAGCAACGCCGCGUGAGUGAUGAAGGUCUUCGGAUCGUAAAACUCUGUUAUUAGGGAAGAACAUAUGUGUAAGUAACUGUGCACAUCUUGACGGUACCUAAUCAGAAAGCCACGGCUAACUACGUG